AUUGAACGCUGGCGGCAUGCUUUACACAUGCAAGUCGAACGGUAACAGGGUGCUUGCACCGCUGACGAGUGGCGAACGGGUGAGUAAUGCAUCGGAACGUGCCCAGCCAUGGGGGAUAACUACGCGAAAGCGUAGCUAAUACCGCAUACGCCCUGAGGGGGAAAGUGGGGGAUCGCAAGACCUCACGUGAUUGGAGCGGCCGAUGUCAGAUUAGCUAGUUGGUGAGGUAAAGGCUCACCAAGGCGACGAUCUGUAGCGGGUCUGAGAGGAUGAUCCGCCACACUGGGACUGAGACACGGCCCAGACUCCUACGGGAGGCAGCAGUGGGGAAUUUUGGACAAUGGGCGAAAGCCUGAUCCAGCCAUGCCGCGUGAGUGAAGAAGGCCUUCGGGUUGUAAAGCUCUUUCGGACGGAAAGAAAUCGCACGGGCUAAUAUCCCGUGUGGAUGACGGUACCGUAAGAAGAAGCACCGGCUAACUACGUGCCAGCAGCCGCAGUAA
This 500-nucleotide ribosomal RNA is filed under the name uncultured bacterium. RNAcentral's name for it is "partial 16S ribosomal RNA". It matches the Rfam family "Bacterial small subunit ribosomal RNA", at positions 29 to 523 of the family's 1533-position model. The record is from RNAcentral.